CCUACGGGUGGCAGCAGUGGGGGAUAUUGCACAAUGGGGGAAACCCUGAUGCAGCGACGCCGCGUGGGUGAAGAAGUAUUUCGGUAUGUAAAGCCCUAUCAGCAGGGAAGAAAGAAGACGGUACCUGACUAAGAAGCCCCGGCUAACUACGUGCCAGCAGCCGCGGUAAUACGUAGGGGGGGAGCGUUAUCCGGAUUCACUGGGUGUAAAGGGAGCGUAGACGGCCGUGCAAGCCAGGAGUGAAAGCCCGGGGCCCAACCCCGGGACUGCUCUUGGAACUGUGCGGCUGGAGUGCGGGAGGGGCAGGCGGAAUUCCUGGUGUAGCGGUGAAAUGCGUAGAUAUCAGGAGGAACACCGGCGGCGAAGGCGGCCUGCUGGACCGCGACUGACGUUGAGGCUCGAAAGCGUGGGGAGCGAACAGGAUUAGAUACCCCAGUAGUC
RNAcentral lists this ribosomal RNA (441 nucleotides) under uncultured bacterium. RNAcentral's name for it is "partial 16S ribosomal RNA". It matches the Rfam family "Bacterial small subunit ribosomal RNA", at positions 338 to 795 of the family's 1533-position model. The record is from RNAcentral.